This 253-nucleotide ribosomal RNA is filed under the name uncultured bacterium. Its description in RNAcentral is "partial 16S ribosomal RNA". It matches the Rfam family "Bacterial small subunit ribosomal RNA", at positions 524 to 776 of the family's 1533-position model. The record is from RNAcentral.
UACGUAGGGGGCAAGCGUUGUCCGGAUUUAUUGGGCGUAAAGAGCGUGUAGGCGGCCUUACAGGUCAGCUGUGAAAACUCGAGGCUCAACCUCGAGACGUCGGUUGAAACCGUAAGGCUAGAGUCCGGAAGAGGAGAGUGGAAUUCCCGGUGUAGCGGUGAAAUGCGCAGAUAUCGGGAAGAACACCCGUGGCGAAGGCGGCUUCCUGGACCUGUUCUGACACUGAGGAGCGAAAGCGUGGGGAGCGAUCCGG